RNAcentral lists this ribosomal RNA (468 nucleotides) under uncultured bacterium. Its description in RNAcentral is "partial 16S ribosomal RNA". It matches the Rfam family "Bacterial small subunit ribosomal RNA", at positions 28 to 507 of the family's 1533-position model. The record is from RNAcentral.
GACGAACGCUGGCGGCGUGCUUAACACAUGCAAGUCGAACGGAAAGGCCCUGCUUUUGUGGGGUGCUCGAGUGGCGAACGGGUGAGUAACACGUGAGUAACCUGCCCUUGACUUUGGGAUAACUUCAGGAAACUGGGGCUAAUACCGGAUAGGAGCUCCUGCUGCAUGGUGGGGGUUGGAAAGUUUCGGCGGUUGGGGAUGGACUCGCGGCUUAUCAGCUUGUUGGUGGGGUAGUGGCUUACCAAGGCUUUGACGGGUAGCCGGCCUGAGAGGGUGACCGGCCACAUUGGGACUGAGAUACGGCCCAGACUCCUACGGGAGGCAGCAGUGGGGAAUAUUGCACAAUGGGCGGAAGCCUGCUGCAGCAACGCCGCGUGCGGGAUGACGGCCUUCGGGUUGUAAUCCGCUUUCGCCUGUGACGAAGCGUGAGUGACGGUAAUGGGUAAAGAAGCACCGGCUAACUACGUG